AAAUUGAAGAGUUUGAUCAUGGCUCAGAUUGAACGCUGGCGGCAGGCCUAACACAUGCAAGUCGAGCGGAAACGAGUUAUCUGAACCUUCGGGGAAGGAUAACGGCGUCGAGCGGCGGACGGGUGAGUAAUGCCUAGGAAAUUGCCCUGAUGUGGGGGAUAACCAUUGGAAACGAUGGCUAAUACCGCAUGAUGCCUACGGGCCAAAG
This 208-nucleotide ribosomal RNA is filed under the name Vibrio parahaemolyticus. RNAcentral's name for it is "partial 16S ribosomal RNA". It matches the Rfam family "Bacterial small subunit ribosomal RNA", at positions 1 to 206 of the family's 1533-position model. Lineage: Bacteria; Pseudomonadati; Pseudomonadota; Gammaproteobacteria; Vibrionales; Vibrionaceae. The record is from RNAcentral.